This 254-nucleotide ribosomal RNA is filed under the name uncultured bacterium. RNAcentral describes it as "partial 16S ribosomal RNA". It matches the Rfam family "Archaeal small subunit ribosomal RNA", at positions 474 to 727 of the family's 1478-position model. The record is from RNAcentral.
UACCAGCACCCCCGAGUGGUCGGGACGUUUAUUGGGCCUAAAGCAUCCGUAGCCGGUUCUACAAGUCUUCCGUUAAAUCCAGCUGCUUAACAGAUGGGCUGCGGAAGAUACUAUGGAGCUAGGAGGCGGGAGAGGCAAGCGGUACUCGAUGGGUAGGGGUAAAAAUCCGUUGAUCCAUUGAAGACCACCAGUGGCGAAGGCGGCUUGCCAGAACGCGCUCGACGGUGAGGGAUGAAGCUGGGGGAGCAAACCGG